Molecule: ribosomal RNA, 466 nt
Filed under: uncultured bacterium
Lineage: Bacteria
Description: bacterial SSU rRNA
Rfam family: Bacterial small subunit ribosomal RNA
Source: RNAcentral
CCUACGGGUGGCACCAGUGGGGAAUAUUGCACAAUGGGCGCAAGCCUGAUGCAGCCAUGCCGCGUGUAUGAAGAAGGCCUUAGGGUUGUAAAGUACUUUCAGUUGGGAGGAAGGCGUUGAUGCUAAUAUCAUCAACGAUUGACGUUACCAACAGAAGAAGCACCGGCUAACUCCGUGCCAGCAGCCGCGGUAAUACGGAGGGUGCAAGCGUUAAUCGGAAUUACUGGGCGUAAAGCGCACGCAGGCGGUUGAUUAAGUUAGAUGUGAAAUCCCCGGGCUUAACCUGGGAAUGGCAUCUAAGACUGGUCAGCUAGAGUCUUGUAGAGGGGGGGUAGAAUUCCAUGUGUAGCGGUGAAAUGCGUAGAGAUGUGGAGGAAUACCGGUGGCGAAGGCGGCCCCCUGGAGAAAGACUGACGCUCAGGUGCGAAAGCGUGGGGAGCAAACAGGAUUAGAUACCCCCGUAGUC